Molecule: unclassified non-coding RNA, 278 nt
Filed under: Glomus sp.
Lineage: Eukaryota; Fungi; Glomeromycota; Glomeromycetes; Glomerales; Glomeraceae
Description: partial contains 5.8S ribosomal RNA and internal transcribed spacer 2
Rfam family: 5.8S ribosomal RNA (bases 1-65)
Source: RNAcentral
GUGAAUCAUCAAAUUUUUGAACGCAAAUUGCACUCCCUUCGGAGAGUAUGCCUGUUUGAGGGUCAGCCUAAAAAAAAAUCGUCAUAGUCGUUGUUUCGCGGUGACUUUCGUCGGAAAUUGUGUCAUCUUACACUUUUCGGUUUUUUAAGUGGCUUAAAGAUUUCUUUACGAUUCCACGAAUGUUUCUAAGAUUUUACUUCUUACAGACGUUAAAUGUUUAGAUCUUUCUUAGACGUAGCUAUUGCAUCGGAUCGCGUCCAUAAAUAUUUCGAUAACUG